AGGACGGUAGCUCAGUGGGAGAGCAUUACCUUGACAGGGUAGGGGUCGUGGGUUCGAUCCCCACUCGUCCUA
This is a transfer RNA of Paenibacillus ferrarius, 72 nucleotides long. It matches the Rfam family "tRNA". Rfam says of the family: Transfer RNA (tRNA) molecules are approximately 80 nucleotides in length. Their secondary structure includes four short double-helical elements and three loops (D, anti-codon, and T loops). The record is from Rfam. Lineage: Bacteria; Bacillati; Bacillota; Bacilli; Caryophanales; Paenibacillaceae.